AACUAACGCUGGCGGCGUGCCUAACACAUGCAAGUCGUACGAGAAAGUUGGCUUCGGCCGAUGAGUAAAGUGGCGCACGGGUGAGUAAUGCGUGGAUAAUCUGCCCUUUAGUUGGGAAUAACGUACCGAAAGGUGCGCUAAUACCUGAUAAUACUGCAUAACUACUGUUGUGUAGUCAAAGAAGGCCUCUGUUUACAAGCUUUUGCUGAAGGAUGAGUCCGCGUACCAUUAGCUGGUUGGUGGGGUAAUGGCCUACCAAGGCUACGAUGGUUAGCUGGUCUGAGAGGAUGAUCAGCCACACUGGAACUGAGACACGGUCCAGACUCCUACGGGAGGCAGCAGUGAGGAAUAUUGCGCAAUGGGGGCAACCCUGACGCAGCAACGCCGCGUGAGUGAGGAAGGUUUUCGGACCGUAAAGCUCUGUCGAGCGGGAAGAAAUGUAUCAUGGCUAAUAUCCAUGAUACUUGACGGUACCGCUAAAGGAAGACC
This 489-nucleotide ribosomal RNA is filed under the name uncultured bacterium. Its description in RNAcentral is "bacterial SSU rRNA". It matches the Rfam family "Bacterial small subunit ribosomal RNA", at positions 29 to 493 of the family's 1533-position model. The record is from RNAcentral.